GGGGGCGUUCUGGUUUCGACAGAAUAAUGUUUAGUUAGUAAUUCAGUCCAUUAGUAGGGUAACUACUAUUUAAAUUUAAGUGGAAACACUAAUUAUUCUUACGCUGCCUAAAGGCAAAUAGAUGCUGGUAGCUGGUUAGUUGUUGUUCGCAUAUAACAUAUACUAAUCAUCAUUAUUAUAUGCAAACUUAUUAAGUUGAUUGGCUUAAUAUUUUAUUUAAAUCUUAGAGCAAUAUCAUUUUGUUAGUUUUAUAGUAUUGCUUGAAUUUUAAAAACUGAAUAAACUGUAAACUUACUUUCAAGGGACUUAUUUUGGACAGGAGUUCGAUUCUCCUCGCCUCCACCA
Molecule: transfer-messenger RNA, 345 nt
Filed under: Bacilli bacterium
Lineage: Bacteria; Bacillati; Bacillota; Bacilli
Rfam family: transfer-messenger RNA
About the family: Bacterial tmRNA, also known as 10Sa RNA or SsrA, is named for its dual tRNA and mRNA-like properties.
Source: RNAcentral